This 66-nucleotide transfer RNA is filed under the name Phoronopsis harmeri. RNAcentral's name for it is "tRNA-Leu". It matches the Rfam family "tRNA". Rfam says of the family: Transfer RNA (tRNA) molecules are approximately 80 nucleotides in length. Their secondary structure includes four short double-helical elements and three loops (D, anti-codon, and T loops). Lineage: Eukaryota; Metazoa; Phoronida; Phoronidae. The record is from RNAcentral.
GCUUUAAUAGCAUAAUUUAAUGCACCAGAUUUAAGCUCUGGAGAUAAAAUUUUUAUUUUUAAAGUA